RNAcentral lists this small RNA (285 nucleotides) under Pongo abelii (Sumatran orangutan). RNAcentral's name for it is "retained intron". The record is from RNAcentral. Lineage: Eukaryota; Metazoa; Chordata; Mammalia; Primates; Hominidae.
UGGUCAUGUAGGCCUCCUCUUCCCCAGUUCGACCUGGGUCUUGCUGUGUAUUACACAACACCUCCCUCUCCUCUGAGCUUCUUUAUCCUCGCCAGCUCAGCUUUUCUGUACCUCUCCCUACAGGCCAACUGUAUGGGCUGGAGAAGUUCUGGGCCUUCUUGAAAUAUUCCAAAGCCAAAAAUUUGGACAUUGACCCCAAACUGCAAGAAUACCUCGGCAAAUUCCGACGUCUUGAAGACUUCCGAGUAGAUCCCCCCAUGGGUGAGGAGGGCAACCACAAGCGAC